CCUGGAUGUGUGGCCCAGGUCAGCCUACUUAAUCUUGCUGAUAUUCCAGUUUUUCAUCAGGAACAAGGCUGAUCAUAAUACUACCUUGAAGGAUUGCUGUGAGGACUAGCUAGAGGGAUUGUGUGAGAGUCCCUUGCCCAAUGUCUGGAACACAGUAGAGAUGGAGCAAAGAAACCGUCAUACUCCAAAUGGUGGUGUUUAACCUCAAGUUUGUUUUAAAUAUACCUGCCUGACUCUGACCAGAGAUCAAAGUGAACAUCACAAAUAACGGGACAAAUUGACAUUAUGUGUCUUCUGAUAUGACGCUCUGAGAGGAACACAGCACCAUAAGGUGGUAUCUGUGAUAUCUCUGGCCAACCAUAAGGAAACAAUUACACAAACCCAAACUGAGAAGCCUGCAAAAUAACUGGCAUGAAAUCUUCAAAAAUAUUGAGAUCAUGAAAGGUAAGAAAAGAUAGAAGAAUUAUUCUAGGUUGAAGAAGACUGAAGAAACAUCAAAAGUAAAUGAAUCGCAUGAUCAUGGGUUGGAUUCAAAAAUAGGAGGAAAAAAAAUGUCCAUACAUAUUGGAACAAUAGGUUAAUUAGAAUGGGAUGACUGAGAUGGUGUACUAAAUGGUGAUACUGUGGAAAUGCCAACUUGCUGCUCUUGACAACUGUGGCUGUGUAGGAGAAUG
Molecule: long non-coding RNA, 674 nt
Filed under: Homo sapiens (human)
Lineage: Eukaryota; Metazoa; Chordata; Mammalia; Primates; Hominidae
Description: HSALNT0192644
Source: RNAcentral